This is a non-coding RNA of Oncorhynchus mykiss (rainbow trout), 793 nucleotides long. Lineage: Eukaryota; Metazoa; Chordata; Actinopteri; Salmoniformes; Salmonidae. The record is from RefSeq and is a predicted model, not a curated record.
UUUUAAGUCCCAAUGCAAAUGCCACUUUACCACACAGCAACAGAGAGCAAACAAGGACACAACAGACUACAUGGGAUGUAUACAUGCAUGCAACUGUGUUUAGCCCUGGCUGGUGGAUGACAGCGUGGCUAGAAGAAUGCCCCAGAAUGAAGAAUGCAGGGGUUUGUUCUGCCUGUAUUCCAUCAUCUGAGUCCACGCGCGUCACAAUGACUAUGUCCCAGCCCUCUAAGUGGAAAAACAAUGUUUAGGAUGGGUAUCCAGCCUCCCAUAUCCCAGGCCCACAAAGAGACCUCCACCUGCUCUCAGUCUCAGGGCCUUCUGGUCAGAAUGGCGUGAGAUUACAAUAUAAUCACAGUUUUGGAGAUUUGAGAGAAGGAAGGGAAGACCGAGAGAGAGGUUGAAGCGGGGGAGAAGAGGACAUGUGACUGAGACUCAUGCGUUGGUGAGUGGACCUUCAGGGAGUGAUGCAGCUCUCCAUGUAAGGGCUGAACUAUACCUCUGUCUACCAUCAUCUUAAUAUCUUCACUCCAAAUCAACACAACUGACCAUUCAAGGUGAUGCCUAUCAUGACAAGUCCCCAAGGAUAAACAGUAAUAUUAGACUGUUUGGACUAAACUCUUGAUUCAUACUACUAUUAACCUUCUCUUAAGAGAGACAUGGAGUCUUAGUGAUGACUUACAGUAUGACUCACCAGUGUCUCCUGACCCCUCCUGUCUCAGCCUCCAGUAUUUAUGCUGCAGUAGUUUAUGUGUCGGGGGGCUGGGGUCAGUUUGUUAUAUCUGGAGUACUUCUC